RNAcentral lists this long non-coding RNA (3856 nucleotides) under Nicotiana tabacum (common tobacco). Its description in RNAcentral is "long non-coding RNA (NTAB_LNC014458)". Lineage: Eukaryota; Viridiplantae; Streptophyta; Magnoliopsida; Solanales; Solanaceae. The record is from RNAcentral.
CCCUUAACCUAAAAAAAACUGUACAAAAACUAGCCUAAAAUACAAAGACUAGACCUAGGACCUGGAUGGAUGAAAUCCGCCGUUCAACACAACACAACCCCUUUGGAUCUUCUUCUUCAUUCCAACAAUACAAGACCAAGGGACCUAAGGCAAAAAAUAUGAAAGAGAUCCCUAAGCUAGCUAUCCGCCGUUACACCUAAACCCCACCCCAAAAAUGACCCUUCACUCCUCCUCUCCCCAGCAGCGGUGAACCUGUCGGAACACACAAACGAAAACCCUCCCCCCAGCGAGAAUCUCGCUCAGUCAUUACACACCACUAAUACCACGAUCGUCGGACAGAAACAUAGACGAGAGAUGAGGAACGAGAGCUGAGUAGCUCACCCGUCGUCAUCUUCUUCACAUCACAGAGCCUUGAAGCAAAUCUCCAUAGACACCAACCAUAAAGAUCAGUGCCCUUGAUCCACUGCUCGAAACCUCCAUCGAAACAACGUGAAAUAGCCCGAAACAACUUCGAAUCGCGAGCCACUGUUAAGGAGACCAUUGGUUUUGUCUUUCUGGUUUAGUUCGAGUUUUCUAACGAGCUUCGAGGUCGUUGUCCAUGGAGUCCAUUUCAAUCGUACGUCGAGGUACUGUCUAUUGGCUUCCGGUUCGAGUUCCGUCCGGGGUUCUAGCGGUUUGAGAGACUGUGGAUUGCUGCUAGAUCUUUGUUGAUGAGUCUGCCAAUCUCUGUUAUUAGCUCCACAAGAUUUUUGGCUUGAUUUAAGGUAACAUCCAAGCUUUCUGUUAUAGUAUUACAAUAUUGUUAGAUUUUAAUGUCUUAUGUUGUAUCUUUCUUUUUAAUGCCAUUCUUGUGGCUGUAAAUUAAGUGAGAUGUGAUUAUUUUCAACUGCUCUUCAGACGUAUGGAUAAAAUUUAUUCAUGGAUUUUUCUUCUCUUGAUUGAACUUUCGGUUUAGCUUUAAAAAAUAGUUCAAUUUGUGUGUUAAAAUGAAGGAUAUGUUGGAUAUCAAUAGUGAAUUUAUGGUGAUACUAAAUGACUACUAUGAUGAAUGUGCUUGUUGUGAUUUUUCUUCUAAUAUUAAAAUAUAUGAAUGAGAUUGGGACCAUGUAUGCAAGGUUUUAAAUCUGUAAAAUUAGGAUGCUAGUGCUUUACUCUCGUGCUAGACUUUGAAUCGGCCCAUUUUGGAGACUGAUAAUGAUUAAGUUGAGCACUGAUUUUAGUUCAAAUUAGAUUAUGUGAAUAGAAUCAAACUUAGAAAAAAUAAAUAUUCGUAGACAAUGCUUUAGACGCAUUUUAAAUUUAUCAUUGUGAUUGUGCGCACGUUCACGUGACAUAAUCACGAUUCUAAAAGCCAAAUUGGAGUAUGCGUUCGCGCAACUUUGACCAAACUUUCGCAAUAAUAAUAAAUUUGUUAUUAAUAUAGUCCUCGUUAAUUAGAUGUAGUUCUUUAGGCCGAGGUGUGCCAUCCAUAAUUGAAUCCCUAUGGCUCUUGUGUUAAUUUUAUAACUUAGACAUUAAAAUGAUAUUCGGAGUUGGCUCUAGGCACGUUUAAUCCAUCAUCGUAGUGGUGUACACGUUCGCGUGACAUAAUUACGGUUCUAAAAAACAAAACCGGAGUAUACGUUCGCGCAACUUUGGCCAAACUUUUUUAAUAAUUUUAAAGUGUUAUUAAUUGUGGACACGUUCGCGUGACAUGAUUUUUGACGCGCCAAACAAAUGGGUACACGUACGUGUGACUUGUUUUAAGAUAACUUUCUUAAUUAAAAAGGCAAAUCCACAUAGGUUCUAAAAUAAGUAAUUAAACAAUUUGAUUAAGCCGGGUAUGAUCAAAACGACCGUGUUAAAACCAGAAACUCGGGAAUGCCUAACACCUUCUUUCGGGUUAACAGAAUUCCUUACCGGGAUUUUUGUGUUCGCAGAUCGUAAAUAGAGUCAAACUUCCUCGAUUUGGGAUUUUAAACCGGUGACUUGGGACACCAUAAAUUAUCCCAAGUGGAGACUCUGAAUUUUAAAUAAAUAAUCCCGUUUCGAUUGUCACUUAAAUUGGAAAAACUCCCUUAUACCCUUCCGGGGGUAGGAAAAGGAGGUGUGACAAGUUAGAUGAGUUCCGGUACCAUGCAUACACAUGUUCGUCCUUAUACAAAAAGAAGAUGAAAUAUCUUCAUGAUAAUUACAUUUGGGACAAAGAGUUCAAAGAGGGUGAUCUUGUGUUUUUGUUCAAUUCACAAUUGAGGAUGUUUCUCGGGAAGGUAAAGUCUAAAUGGAGUGGCCUGUUUGAAGUUGUGGGUAUGACACCCUUUGAUGCAUUGGACUUGAAGAACAAAUAUGAUGAGGUGUUUCAAGUCAAUGAUCACCGGGUGAAGCAUUAUUUGAGAAAAGUUGGUGAUGGCCACGUUGUGGCGGUGAUUCAUUUCAAGAGAUAGUAAUUGUGUCGUGCCGCGACGUUAAAUCAGGCGCUUCUUGGGAGGCAACUUAUGUUUAUUUUUCUUUUUAUUUUCUUCUUUUGUAGAUAGGUGUUAUUUUUGUGCUAGCUGGAUUUGAAGUGUGUUGCAGUGAUGAGUGUGCUUUAUAGGAACUGUGCUCAGAAAAUUGGUUAAGUGUGGGACGAAGUGUGGACCGCACAAUUGUGAUUGCUACAACAAAAAGGGAACUGUGGCCGCACAAUUGUAGUGUGGACUGCACAAAUUGAAAAGGGAAAAUACAAACUCUCUGAAAUUUUGUUUGUUAGAGAAAUGGCCAAAGUGCAGCUGCGCAAGGAAAUUUGCGAUCCGCAACAAAUAUCUGCAGCCGCGAUGGUAUUUCUACUAACCGCAGAUCAAUAAAGGCCUUUGAGCCUCAUGUAAUAGAGUACGUACUGCAGGAGGAAUUCUGUGGCUGCACUCGUCCCUUUAUCCCUCAAGCCAGGCUCGUCAGUAUAAAUAGUAACUUUAGGGUCACUAUACAACUUUUUUCCCUCUCUGAGCUCUCAAAGUUCUAAAAAUUAAAAUUUCUUGUUAAAGUAGCCGCUCACAAGCAUAACAACUGUUGAUCACUCAUCUGUUGCAUUCACUCAUCUCUGGUAUGCAUUAUCAUCUUGAUUAACUUCUCUAAAGUUUUAGAUUUUUAGUAAAUUUGGAACUAUUUGUCUAUGAAUUUAUUUGAACAUUGUUGUGGGGUGAAUAUGUUGUGGGUAGAUUAAUAAUUUCUCUACGGGGACUGGGUUACUUGAUUUUCAUACUUAAUUGUUAAUACCAUGUCGAUUGUGCAAAAAAAUGUUAACCCUAAGACCACUGUUCAUAAAAGUUUUGAAAUAUGUGUCCACACAAGAAAUUGUGAGGUCUACAGAAGUUGAAAUUAAGGGUCUUUGGUCAAGCAUGAUUUUGCGGCCGCACUUGAAAUUGUGCCGACCGCAGAAAUCCCAUCGCGGUCACAGAAAAGUGUGUACGGCCGCAAAACAGCCCAAUCUCUUUCUUUAGAAAGUUGAAAUUUUGGGAAUUUGAUGUUCGACCACAAUAAAAAUUGUGCGGACCGCAAUCCAAGUCUGUGGACCGUAAAGGAGAAAUGUGUAGUCCGCAAUGCCCAAUCUGCGGCCGCCAACAAUAUUCUGUGGACCGCAAUUCCCUACCCUGAAAUCAUGUUUUACAAUAUGUUGUGCACUGUCUCUCUGGUGUGUUCUUACAUGUUUACAAUUUAAUUGAAAUUGACACCUGCUUUUGCUUGGUAUAGAACAUGGUUCGAUCUAGAGGAAGGGGCGACACUUCAAAGAGAAGGGGUUACUCUUCUCGAGGACGAGGAAAGAGACCCAUGCCUAGUUCCCAACAUCCUGACAGUAGAAAGAAGAUAGCAACAGGCAGAUGGCAAGGUGUCGAGUCCUCAU